Molecule: long non-coding RNA, 1525 nt
Filed under: Calidris pugnax (ruff)
Lineage: Eukaryota; Metazoa; Chordata; Aves; Charadriiformes; Scolopacidae
Description: lncRNA (ENSCPUG00000008989.1)
Source: RNAcentral
GGACAUGGGAUCUACAUGGGAUUUACAUGGGAUGGACACGGGAUCUACAUGGGAAGGCCACAGGAAGGACAUGGGAUGGACAUGGAAAGGACAUGGGAUCUACACGCAACAUGGGAUGGACACGGGAUCUACAUGGGACAUGGGAAGGACAUGGGAUGGACACGGGAGGGACACGGGAAGGACAUGGGAUCUACAUGGGAUUUACAUGGGAUCUACGAUGGACACAGGAGGGACACAGGAGGGACAUGGGAGGCACAUGGGAUCUACAUGGGACACGGGAUGGACAUAGGACAUGGGAUGGACACGGGAUGGACACGGGAUGGACAUGGGAGGGACAUGGGAGGGACAUGGGAUGGACAUGGGAUCUACAUGGGACAUGGGAUGGACACGGGAUCUACAUGGGACAUGGGAUGGACACGGGAGGGACACGGGAUCUACAUGGGAGGGACACAGGACAAAGGCAGCACCAAGGGAGGGGGGGGAAGGGGGCGACACGUGAAGGACACGGGACGGACACGCGAGUGACGUGAGACGGACGCGGAAAGAAAGACCAGGCAGCCGACACGGGAUGAACAUGGGAUCGACAUGUAUUGACACGGGACGGAGACGGGACCGAGAGGGACCCCCCCUCCCCCCCGGGAGCAUCCACACGCCAAUUACAUGCGAAUUACAGGCGAUCGACACGGGAUCAACAUGCGGUUAACACGGGAUGAACACGGGAUGCAGGCCCAAUCAGCAGGGAAUCGACACGUGAACUACACGGGAUGGACACGGGAUGAACAUGGGAUCAACCCGGGAUGGGGACGGGGUCAAGGCACAAUCAACAUGUUAAUUACAUGUGAUCAACAUGGGAUUAACACAGUGAGGAGGCCCAAUCAGCAGGAAAUCGACAUGUGAAUUACACGGAAUGAACAUGGGAUCGACACAGGAUCGACACGGGACGGGGACGGGGUCAAGGCACAAUCAACAUGCUAAUUACAUGUGAUCAACAUGUGAUCGACAUGGGAUUAACACAGGAAGGAGGCCCAAUCAGCAGGGAAUCGACAUGUGAAUUACACGGGAUCGACACGUGAAUUACAUGGGAUGGACACGGAACCAACAUGGGAUAGAGACAGGGUCAAGGCCCGAUCGACACGGGAAUUACACGUGACUGACAUGAGAUUAACACCGGGGGGAGGCCCAAUCAGCAGGGAAUCGACACGGGAUGAACACGGGAUCGACAUAUGAAUUACACGCGAAGGACACGGGACGGGGACGGGGUCAAAGGCACAAUCAACACGCGGGGACACGGAAGGACAUGGGAGGGACAUGGGAUCUACACGCGGGGACGGGGUCAAAGGCACAAUCAACACGCGAAUCGCACGCGAUCGACACGGGAUUAACACGGGAUUAACACGAGAAGGAAGCCCGAUCGGCGGGUGAGCCGCCCCGCCAACAACACGCCAACGACACGCCAACGACACGCCAACUACACGCCACGAACACGGACCCCAGGGGGGACGAAGGGCCCCGCCGACACCUCCAA